GAUGAACGCUGGCGGCGUGCCUAAUACAUGCAAGUCGAGCGAACAGACGAGGAGCUUGCUCCUCUGACGUUAGCGGCGGACGGGUGAGUAACACGUGGAUAACCUACCUAUAAGACUGGGAUAACUUCGGGAAACCGGAGCUAAUACCGGAUAAUAUAUUGAACCGCAUGGUUCAAUAGUUAAAGACGGUUUUGCUGUCACUUAUAGAUGGAUCCGCGCCGCAUUAGCUAGUUGGUAAGGUAACGGCUUACCAAGGCGACGAUGCGUAGCCGACCUGAGAGGGUGAUCGGCCACACUGGAACUGAGACACGGUCCAGAAUCCUACGGGAGGCAGCAGUAGGGAAUCUUCCGCAAUGGGCGAAAGCUUGACGGAGCAACGCCGCGUGAGUGAUGAAGGUCUUCGGAUCGUAAAACUCUGUUAUUAGGGAAGAACAAAUGUGUAAGUAACUAUGCACGUCUUGACGGUACCUAAUCAGAAAGCCACGGCUAACUACGUG
RNAcentral lists this ribosomal RNA (497 nucleotides) under uncultured bacterium. RNAcentral describes it as "partial 16S ribosomal RNA". It matches the Rfam family "Bacterial small subunit ribosomal RNA", at positions 28 to 507 of the family's 1533-position model. The record is from RNAcentral.